This is a small nucleolar RNA of Brassica oleracea var. oleracea, 107 nucleotides long. It matches the Rfam family "Plant small nucleolar RNA R71". From Rfam's summary of the family: R71 is a member of the C/D box family of snoRNAs containing the C (UGAUGA) and D (CUGA) box motifs. The record is from Rfam. Lineage: Eukaryota; Viridiplantae; Streptophyta; Magnoliopsida; Brassicales; Brassicaceae.
AAGCCAUGGUGUGGGCAUUGAGCUUGGUAGCCCUUGAAUCUCUCCCAAGCUUCAUUGAAUCCUUCCAAGUUCUUUUGUUGAAAAUUGGAAAUCUCAUUUCUCAGCUU